Molecule: long non-coding RNA, 328 nt
Filed under: Homo sapiens (human)
Lineage: Eukaryota; Metazoa; Chordata; Mammalia; Primates; Hominidae
Description: HSALNT0036785
Source: RNAcentral
AGUUUAAGGGCUGAUUCAAAAAAUAAAUUUUCACACUGUGAAAUACGCAAGAUGAAGAGAACAUUUAUAAAAUAUCCAUACUGUGCAUCUCUGAAUAAUCUUUUCUUCACAUCAGCGGCAGUACAAAUUAGGUGGAGUUUUAAAAGAUACUUCAGCAACUUACAGAUUACAGCAUGUUAUGUAUCUUCAAGGUAUUUUGCUUCAUUGGUGUGCUUGAACAUUUCUGGAUUCCUAGACUCCCAGAAAGGAGUGAGAGGAUAUUACGUUGCAGAAUUUGGUCAGAAUAUGAAGUUUGGAAGACCCUAUAUUCCUGCAGAUCCUUGGAUUG